This 465-nucleotide ribosomal RNA is filed under the name uncultured bacterium. RNAcentral's name for it is "partial 16S ribosomal RNA". It matches the Rfam family "Bacterial small subunit ribosomal RNA", at positions 28 to 507 of the family's 1533-position model. The record is from RNAcentral.
GACGAACGCUGGCGGCGUGCUUAACACAUGCAAGUCGAACGGAAAGGCCCUGCUUGCAGGGUACUCGAGUGGCGAACGGGUGAGUAACACGUGGGUGAUCUGCCCUGCACUUCGGGAUAAGCCUGGGAAACUGGGUCUAAUACCGGACAGGAGCCAUUUUUAGUGUGAUGGUUGGAAAGUUUUUUCGGUGUAGGAUGAGCUCGCGGCCUAUCAGCUUGUUGGUGGGGUAAUGGCCUACCAAGGCGGCGACGGGUAGCCGGCCUGAGAGGGUGGACGGCCACAUUGGGACUUAGAGACGGCCGAGGCUCGUACGGGAGGCAGCAGUGGGGAAUAUUGCACAAUGGGCGCAAGCCGGAUGCAGCGACGCCGCGGGGGGGAUGACUGCCUUCGGGUUGUAAACUCCUUUCGCUAGGGACGAAGCUUUUUGUGACGGUACCUAGAUAAGAAGCACCGGCUAACUACGUG